UAGUAAUAUAAUCUCAGACUCCCUCCAU
RNAcentral lists this small RNA (28 nucleotides) under Bombyx mori (domestic silkworm). RNAcentral's name for it is "ovarian small RNA-22861". Lineage: Eukaryota; Metazoa; Arthropoda; Insecta; Lepidoptera; Bombycidae. The record is from RNAcentral.